CCUACGGGUGGCAGCAGUAAGGAAUAUUGGGCAAUGGACGAGAGUCUGAACGAGCAAAGUCGCGUGAAUGAUGACUGCCCUAUGGGUGGUAAACUUCUUUUAUAUGGGAGUAAAAUGGUCCAAGUAUGGGAUUUUGUAUUUACCAUAUGAAUAAAGAUCGGCUAACUCCAUGCCAGCCGCCGCGGUAAUACGAAGGAUGCGAGCGUUAUCCGGAUUUAUUGGGUUUAAGGGGAGCGUAGGUGGAUUGUUAAGUCAGUUGUGAAAGUCUGCGGCUCAACCGUAAAAUUGCAGUGGAAACUGGCAGUCUUGAGUACAGUAGAGGUGGGCGGAAUUCGGGGUGUAGCGGUGAAAUGCGCAGAGA
Molecule: ribosomal RNA, 361 nt
Filed under: uncultured bacterium
Lineage: Bacteria
Description: partial 16S ribosomal RNA
Rfam family: Bacterial small subunit ribosomal RNA
Source: RNAcentral